GGGGAAAAGCUCAAAUUUUAAAUCUGCUAGGUUUUACUUAUCAGAAUUGUAAUUUGAAGAAGCGUUUUCCGCGUCUCAGUUGGCCCAAAUCCUUUGGGAUGAGGUAUCAUGGAGGGU
Molecule: ribosomal RNA, 117 nt
Filed under: Glomus sp.
Lineage: Eukaryota; Fungi; Glomeromycota; Glomeromycetes; Glomerales; Glomeraceae
Description: partial large subunit ribosomal RNA
Source: RNAcentral